Molecule: ribosomal RNA, 374 nt
Filed under: uncultured organism
Description: partial 16S ribosomal RNA
Rfam family: Bacterial small subunit ribosomal RNA
Source: RNAcentral
GUAGGUGGCAAGCGUUGUCCGGGAAUUAUUGGGGCGUAAAGCGCGCGCAGGCGGUUCUUAAGUCUGAUGUGAAAGCCCACGGGCUCAACCGUGGAGGGUCAUUGGAAACUGGAGAACUUGAGUACAGAAGAGGAAAGCGGAAUUCCACGUGUAGCGGUGAAAUGCGUAGAGAUGUGGAGGAACACCAGUGGCGAAGGCGGCUUUCUGGUCUGUAACUGACGCUGAGGCGCGAAAGCGUGGGGAGCAAACAGGAUUAGAUACCCUGGUAGUCCACGCCGUAAACGAUGAGUGCUAAGUGUUAGGGGGUUUCCGCCCCUUAGUGCUGCAGCUAACGCAUUAAGCACUCCGCCUGGGGAGUACGGCCGCAAAGGCUG